This 96-nucleotide small nuclear RNA is filed under the name Propithecus coquereli (Coquerel's sifaka). The record is from RNAcentral. Lineage: Eukaryota; Metazoa; Chordata; Mammalia; Primates; Indriidae.
GUGCUCGCUUCGGCAGCACGUAUACUAAAAUUGGAACGAUACAGAGAAGAUUAGCACGGCCCCUUAAAAACCAAAAAAAAAGGCAACAAAGUAUGU